Molecule: ribosomal RNA, 800 nt
Filed under: uncultured bacterium
Lineage: Bacteria
Description: bacterial SSU rRNA
Rfam family: Bacterial small subunit ribosomal RNA
Source: RNAcentral
AGAGUUUGAUCAUGGCUCAGGACGAACGCUGGCGGCGUGCUUAAUACAUGCAAGUCGAGCGAGGUUAUGUUGUGGACAUCCUUCGGGAGGGAAGCGAUAUGACCUAGCGGCGGACGGGUGAGUAACGCGUGGGCAAUCUGCCCUAAAGCUCGGGAUAACAGUGGGAAACUGCUGCUAAUACCGGAUGACUUUAUCGGGAGGCAUCUUCGGAUAAAGAAAGUGGUCAAUCAUUGAUUGACCAGCGCUUUAGGAUGAGCCCGCGUCCCAUUAGCUAGUUGGUGAGGUAACGGCUCACCAAGGCGACGAUGGGUAGCCGGCCUGAGAGGGUGAACGGCCACACUGGGACUGAGACACGGCCCAGACUCCUACGGGAGGCAGCAGUAGGGAAUAUUGCGCAAUGGAGGGAACUCUGACGCAGCGACGCCGCGUGAGCGAUGAAGGUUUUCGGAUCGUAAAGCUCUGUCCUUGGGGAAGAAGGGUGCGAAGCAUCUUGACGGUACCUAAGGAGGAAGCCCCGGCUAACUACGUGCCAGCAGCCGCGGUAAUACGUAGGGGGCAAGCGUUGUCCGGAAUUAUUGGGCGUAAAGCGAGCGCAGGCGGUUCUUUAAGUCUGAUGUGAAAGCCCCUGGCUCAACCAGGGAGGGUCAUUGGAAACUGGAGAACUUGAGUGCAGAAGAGGAAAGUGGAAUUCCAUGUGUAGCGGUGAAAUGCGUAGAUAUAUGGAGGAACACCAGUGGCGAAGGCGACUUUCUGGUCUGUAACUGACGCUGAGGCUCGAAAGCAUGGGGAGCAAACAGGAU